GAAGGUCACGGCGAGACGAGCCGUUUAUCAUUACGAUAGGUGUCAAGUGGAAGUGCAGUGAUGUAUGCAGCUGAGGCAUCCUAACAGACCGGUAGACUUGAACCUUGUUCCUACAUGACCUGAUCAAUUCGAUCAGGCACUCGCCAUCUAUUUUCAUUGUUCAAAUCUUUGACAACACGAAAAACCAUUGUUCAACUCUUUGACAACAUGAAAAAACCAAAAGCUCUGCCCUGUCCUCCCUCUCUAUCUAUCCAAGGGAUGGAAGGGCAG
RNAcentral lists this ribosomal RNA (270 nucleotides) under Mentha longifolia (horsemint). RNAcentral's name for it is "4.5S ribosomal RNA". Lineage: Eukaryota; Viridiplantae; Streptophyta; Magnoliopsida; Lamiales; Lamiaceae. The record is from RNAcentral. RNAcentral also lists the same sequence under 7 other names.